Molecule: long non-coding RNA, 1239 nt
Organism: Oncorhynchus tshawytscha (Chinook salmon)
Lineage: Eukaryota; Metazoa; Chordata; Actinopteri; Salmoniformes; Salmonidae
Source: Ensembl
GGCAGAACCCUCGACCUUCAGGCCCGAAGUCCAGCGAGCUAUCGACUGUGCCCCAAAAGCUGUGCCCCUCCGCGUUUAUAAACCCAGGGUCGUUACAAUAUUAUAGUGUCAAAAUGUAUUACAAAGUGCAAAUAGGAUAAUUAUGGUCAUAAAGUCAGCCUCGUCCAAAACAUAGUUUUGUAAUUGAAUUCGUCACGAUUUACUGGAUGGUUGGGUAUGGAUUAUGAUCAUGCCCACUUUUGCCAAUUAUGCCAAAUUGCAGGGAAAACACGUUGUAGUCCGCAUCCAGCUGACAUGUGUUGUCAAGGCUGCAUAUGGGUGGAACGCACAUUUCGCUCUGCAAUUAUGAGUGAAAAUGGGCUUCCAUGAAGUUGGUGCAAACUUCCAAUACAUUUCAACAAUAUUGCCAGGAGUGGAUUACAUUCGACACGGUCACUUCUGCUGCCUGUCAACCGUCAAACCACUGCACUGGUGUUGGCUACGUACAAGAUCUGGUUGAUUUGUAGUUCAGCAAUGUUGUUGGAACCCCCCUGCCAUAUCAGGAGCUGUUACAGAAGGCUGAGGCAGUGGCCAUACACCAGUCCUGCUUGAGAGUAAUGGAGGACACUUGAAUCAGGUUGGUCACAUUUGAUCUGGUCAAUGGUCAAAAUACUAUCUGUCCUGGAAUUCACCUAACCACCAUUGAUAAUGUAAUCAGUGCUCUGUGUAUAUGUGUGUCUUGUACUGUACGUUGUAAGAAAGCUGCCCCCUUCCAAUGGACUAUUGGGCCCAGAGUGAGUAAUGCCAACAAGUCAGUGCCAUGCUGGCAUGUGUCCCUUGUGAAUCAGGAUCUCUGAUUGGCUAUUUCAACUGUGUAUUUACUGUUGGCUUCCAUGACUGUAUGGUGACAGUAUUUCUCUCCCUCCCUCUGUGAUAUAGGAGCUGGGUCGGAUAUAGGAGCCGUAGUCGGGCUUCUGCAUGACCAGUAUCUGUGAUGAGAGGGACCUGGAGCUGAUCUACGCUGCCAUGCCAAUCAGGCGUUGGCAAACGCCUCAAAAGGGACAAACAGUGAUUACUAAUAAGACAGUACAUCAUUAUCACCCUUUCAAUGUGUCACUCAUCAACUCUUCCUUGGUUUUCUACAGAUGGGAAGAAGAGUUGCUUUUCAGAUGGAGUCCUCUGACUGAAAGACAGGUUAAUACUGAUGUCAGAAUUGGGAGAGACCUUGCAACUCAGCAUAAAAAUUUUACAAGACAUCUA